ACGAACGCUGGCGGCGUGCUUAACACCUGCCAGUCGAACGGAAAGGCCUCUUUCGGGGGGUACUCGAGUGGCGAACGGGUGAGUAACACGUGAGUAACCUGCCCUUGACUUUGGGAUAACUUCAGGAAACUGGGGCUAAUACCGGAUAGGAGCUCCUGCUGCAUGGUGGGGGUUGGAAAGUUUCGGCGGUUGGGGAUGGACUCGCGGCUUAUCAGCUUGUUGGUGGGGUAGUGGCUUACCAAGGCUUUGACGGGUAGCCGGCCUGAGAGGGUGACCGGCCACAUUGGGACUGAGAUACGGCCCAGACUCCUACGGGAGGCAGCAGUGGGGAAUAUUGCACAAUGGGUGGAAGCCUGAUGCAGCAACGCCGUGUGCGGGAUGACGGCCUUCGGGUUGUAAACCGCUUUCGCUCAUGACGAAGCUUUGUGUGACGGUAGUGGGUAAAGAAGCACCGGCUAACUACGUG
Molecule: ribosomal RNA, 466 nt
Filed under: uncultured bacterium
Lineage: Bacteria
Description: partial 16S ribosomal RNA
Rfam family: Bacterial small subunit ribosomal RNA
Source: RNAcentral